RNAcentral lists this ribosomal RNA (468 nucleotides) under uncultured bacterium. Its description in RNAcentral is "partial 16S ribosomal RNA". It matches the Rfam family "Bacterial small subunit ribosomal RNA", at positions 28 to 507 of the family's 1533-position model. The record is from RNAcentral.
GACGAACGCUGGCGGCGUGCUUAACACAUGCAAGUCGAACGGAAAGGCCCUGCUUUUGUGGGGUGCUCGAGUGGCGAACGGGUGAGUAACACGUGAGUAACCUGCCCUUGACUUUGGGAUAACUUCAGGAAACUGGGGCUAAUACCGGAUAGGAGCUCCUGCUGCAUGGUGGGGGUUGGAAAGUUUCGGCGGUUGGGGAUGGACUCGCGGCUUAUCAGCUUGUUGGUGGGGUAGUGGCUUACCAAGGCUUUGACGGGUAGCCGGGCUGGGAGGGUGACCGGCCACAUUGGGACUGAGAUACGGCCCAGACUCCUCCGGGAGGCAGCAGUGGGGAAUAUUGCACAAUGGGCGGAAGCCUGAUGCAGCAACGCCGCGUGCGGGAUGACGGCCUUCGGGUUGUAAACCGCUUUCGCCUGUGACGAAGCGUGAGUGACGGUAAUGGGUAAAGAAGCACCGGCUAACUACGUG